Molecule: ribosomal RNA, 287 nt
Filed under: uncultured bacterium
Lineage: Bacteria
Description: partial 16S ribosomal RNA
Rfam family: Bacterial small subunit ribosomal RNA
Source: RNAcentral
GACGAACGCUGGCGGCGUGCUUAACACAUGCAAGUCGAGCGGGUAAGGCCCUUUCGGGGGUACACGAGCGGCGAACGGGUGAGUAACACGUGGGUGACCUGCCCUCAGCUCUGGGAUAAGACCUGGGAAACCGGGUCUAAUACUGGAUAUGACUCCCAUGACGCAUGGUUGUGGGGUGGAAAGCCUUGGUGCGGCUGAGGAUGGGCCCGCGGCCUAUCAGCUUGUUGGUGGGGGAUGGCCUACCAAGGCGACGACGGGUAGCCGGCCUGAGAGGGCGACCGGGCCAC